This 425-nucleotide ribosomal RNA is filed under the name uncultured bacterium. Its description in RNAcentral is "partial 16S ribosomal RNA". It matches the Rfam family "Bacterial small subunit ribosomal RNA", at positions 354 to 796 of the family's 1533-position model. The record is from RNAcentral.
GUGGGGAAUCUUAGACAAUGGGGGAAACCCUGAUCUAGCCAUGCCGCGUGAGCGAUGAAGGCCUUAGGGUUGUAAAGCUCUUUCAGCUGGGAAGAUAAUGACUGUACCAGCAGAAGAAGCCCCGGCUAACUCCGUGCCAGCAGCCGCGGUAAUACGGAGGGGGCUAGCGUUGUUCGGAAUUACUGGGCGUAAAGCGCACGUAGGCGGACCGGAAAGUCAGAGGUGAAAUCCCAGGGCUCAACCUUGGAACUGCCUUUGAAACUACUGGUCUUGAGGUCGAGAGAGGUGAGUGGAAUUCCGAGUGUAGAGGUGAAAUUCGUAGAUAUUCGGAGGAACACCAGUGGCGAAGGCGGCUCACUGGCUCGAUACUGACGCUGAGGUGCGAAAGCGUGGGGAGCAAACAGGAUUAGAAACCCCUGUAGUCC